AACGCCGCGCCCCGCCCUCCCGUGCCCGCCCCGCCCCGCCCCGCCCCGCCCCGCGCGGGUCCUGCCGCGCCGCGCGCUGCGAGAGGCGCGCGGUUCGUUAGCGGUGCUGCCGGUGCGCUGCCAGGGGCGGUGCGGAAGUGCGGUCACUCAGCCGCGCCCGAAGCGGGAGAAAGCGCCCCGCCGCCGUUUUACCUCACGGCGCCCGCGCUUCGAGCGCGGCCGCGCUGUAAGCAGCGACGCCGCCUGUCGGUGCCGCCUCCGACGGGGGCGUACGAUGAAUAUCGGCGGCGAUAACGCCCCGUUUCCUGACACGGGUGACCUGAGAAACGUAAUUAUAAUCGACGGAACAAAUCAAGAUUGUGCGAAGCUCGCGCAGCUGCGGAGCGGUGCCGUUACCACCGCCGCCGGGUUCGGCUGUUACUCCCGUGCGGGAGCGCUCAGCCUUACUUCAUGACGGACGCGGCAGCGGGAUGGCGCAUCCGCGUUUGUCUGAAACGCGAACGUGGGGUCUGUCUGGAGAACAGAAACGGUUUAAAGAAAGACCCCCAGAGUUUAGCUAACGGUGCUUAAAGAGAACCCAUCAGAGGGGCUCGGGGGCCGGAGCGGGUUCCUCCGCGCUGAGGAGCGCAGCCGCAUCCUCGCCGGGCAGAGGUUCCAUCGUCCCAAGCCGCCCCAAGCCGGCCGCAGAACUUGCUUCGAAAAGCCUCUCCGCAGCUCCUAGCUGUGCCGUAUGGGUGAAAACCGGCCCCAGCUCAGGGAUUUCUCACAAGGCUACUCCUAGCGAGCUCCUUCUGCACGGGCAAAGCGGGGUAACAGGGAGCAGAGGGCAAAACAUCGCUGUCUGAGCUUGCUGCCGUCGGUGGCUCCUUCCUCCCCCUCCGGUCCCUCCCUGGACACACCCUCUCUGGUGAAGCUCCUGCCCGCUCUGAGCCGGGACGGUGCUUCCAGGUGCUCGGUUAGGGGGUAGACGUGGGUCAAAGCGAUCCACCUUCUGAAGGACUCAGAGCUCGGCCCUGACUUCAGCCCGGGAAACUCCUGGAAAAUCGAGAAGAGAGGAAUUCUUCAUCCCGCUGGGCACAAAGAGCCACAGAAUCCUUCCCCCAUAGCGAAUGAAUGGCAGCUCUGGCGGUCUGAGCACAGCACCUCAUGUGCUCUUCACCCAGACCCACACGGUUCCUCCGUGAGCCUUCAGACACGUCAGCCCCACUGCAGAGCCGAGGAGGCAAUGUCUGCACCACCGUCCAGCACUGCGCGGCUUCGGAGGAGAAAAAUGUUCCCUGCAUUACUCAUCUGAGCUGGCCAGACUCCUAAAACUGCCCCAAACAUCUGAAAGAGCUUUCUCAUGCUGGUCAGAGGGCGUGGGUUUCUGGCAACCCGUGUUGCUGCGCCUCUCAUCGCCCAUCACCCUGCACAUCCUUGGCCUCAGCCACCACCACAGACAGAGGAGGUGUGCCUGAGCUCCGACAGCUCAUCUUAACCGUGGCCUGCAGCCACUCAUCCCCGCAGGCACUAUGAACAGCUCAGACAAACUGUGUCCCCAGGAGCACCUCUGUCCUUAAUUUAUUCUGCUGCCCGGUCAGAAGCAGCACAGGGGACGGAUGAUUCCUGCGUUUAGCAGAAGAUGUGCUGCCCAGCAUGGCACACAUGCCAACGAAGGACAGAAAUGCCUCCUGGCCUCUGGUUGCUGGCCGAUGUCCAAGCAGCAUGGUGGCAGAUGGCAACGACCCAGGGCAGAGCGGAGGCAAAGAGCACACAGUUAGCUGGGAACUGGGAUUUGAACUGCUUUGUAUUAAACCGUACUGGUAAACAUUCUUUUAAGUGCUGUUUAAGGACACCGUGACCUCAGUUAUCUUCAUGAACCUUUUCGUUAAUGAAAAUGAGAGCGGAGGAAUUCUCAAUAAGAAGUAAUUAACUGUUCUACAGCGCACUUGUGCUUAUCAAGAGAAACAUCUGCUGAAGGCUAACCUUGGCCACAGCAUCUCCUCUGGCAGUCUGAAGGAGCCCGGCAAGUCUUCAAAGAGGGUGACCGGGGACUCGGGAUACCGCCUGGGGAGGAGGUGCUGUUAACCCUCUCAGAGCCAGGUAACCCAUCUGCUCACCACUGCAGGAGCUGCACAGCCGCAGGGCUGGGCACAGCCUCAGAGAGGACAGCGGUGUUACCUUCACCACCAUUCCUCAAGGCUGCUUUAGCGGAGUCAGGGCAGAAGGAGGCACGGGAAAGCACCACAGAGUCAUAUGCACGUAGUGAGGUCUCCACCGUGUAGAAGGAAUAAAUAUUUAAGUAGAAAUAGUUGUGUAUUAAUCCAGAUGAUUAAACGAGAAGCUCCACUAACAAUUGGCCUGACCAGCUUUACGAGUGACCCGAGUUUUCGUUCUCUCUUCUACUGUUCCCAUCAUCUUUUCUCAUCCCUGGCCACGUGCUUCUCUUACUUGCUGUAUUUGAAUCUGAAUUUUUUCUAGGACAGGGAUUUAUUUCCCACCUUGAUGGUAAAGCACGUAGCUCUUUUAUUGUGCUCAGAAUCAAUUAGCAAUGAAAUCCUUUUAUUACAAUCUGAUGACAAUUUGCUCUCCUUUAUUGGCAGCACAUCACAGCUCUGACUGUGACCUGAACAGCAAUUUAAUCCUCAUAGAAAUUCUAAGCUUUUAAGGCUCAAUAUAGCUAUCAGGUUGGUGUUCAUAACAGCCCUUUUAGCUGCAGAGCAGAAGCAGCUUGCAGUGCUCAUCUGGCAAAGUGAUGAAGUUCCAGCCUCUCGCUACAGAGGAAUUCCAGACAAAAACACUGCAGUCUGGGAAGUAACCCAUGAAAAAUAUCCUACCCAGUUUCUCACGCAUCCCAUAAGAGAGGCUUCUACCAGGCGCAGCAAGCUGGGUUCAAGUCGAGUGCACUGAAAUACGCUUAGUUUUCCUUAGAGCCACAGCAACGUACUUGGUUUUGAAGCUCCGUCACUGGAAAUAACCUGGACAAUUAACAGAAAACUUUUCAAAACAUUUCAGUCCUGGCACCGAGCGUGAGAAAGCCCAGGCUGAGGGGAGGCCAAGAAUGGGAGCCGUGGACCUGGCGGCCCAAGAGGCACCGCAGCGCACCAGACUGCCUCCAUGCCCAGCCAAGGAGCAGACCAUGUCCAGGGGGGAACUGGGAAUGAAAAAGCCAAGAAAAAUGUCGGAACCCAAAGGACAUGAGGAGCAAUUGCCCAUCAUGUUAGACUGGAAAAAAGAGCAGAGAAAUCCUAGGUGCUUGUGCUUUCCAGCUCUCUGAGCUGCCAGGCAGAAGGAUUUGCAGAUGGCACCAGCACUGUGGCCGCUCACAGGGCAAUGCACGGUUGUCAGUAUGGCAUUGUAUCUGACUUGAGACUAAAGACCACAACCUGAAUCUGGCAGUAUCCCUUUCCAUCCCCUUAAGUAAAUUGAGAACUAUUGAGAACUGUUGGUGGUGGGUGAAUGGUUGGACUGAGUGAUCCUGUGGGUCUUUUCCAACCGUAGUGAUUCCGUGAUUCUAUGAUUCUAUGAAAUAGUGAUGUAAGUUGUCCUGACCUUCCAUACACACGCCACUAUCUCCUUCUGGAGCUCCCACAGAAACCAACUCAGUGUCAUCACCUCUACUCAGUGUCUCCACACUGCCGGCCCUUUCUGAGUCCUGGGGCAGGCAGAUGGGGCUCCCUGAGUUUCAGAUCAGGUCCUGCAGAGCAAAGAGAGAUCUGGGGGUGAAAACCUGAGGGCAGAAGUUUCCUCUGAAGCUCUCCAAGCGCUGGUGUCUGAGGAGACAGCGCCACCGAGAGCGCACCUGACAUUAGAGAGUGUCUAUUACAAAACAUCCCAAAGGGCUGCUAGAAGUAGUAGUAUUUCUACCUGUUAUUCCCUAUGGGAUCUGUUAGAGGACCCGCAGUCUAUAACCUUUCUGCAUCUGCUGGCAGCAGAAAGAAACUCUGCAUUUAAGAAAAAAAAUGACCCCUUGUUUUUCUGGUAAUUACCUCCUGUACCUGAGCGUGAGGGUUGGCAACAGGGAGCUGCCACUGCGGGAGCACAGCAGCCAGAAAUAGAGUGAGAAAUGGGAGAACUGCUAAAGCCACCACAUGCAGAAGUGAUACUAUUUCAUCUGAGAUCCUGCGUGCCUGCAGAGACGCUCAGCACAUCAGGGCAGCUUCUCAGAUGCAGAGAUACAUCAUCACUCGUGCAAAUGCGUUUCACGCACUCAGAUCCGUUUUUCAGGCUAAUUGGAGCUUCCAGCAGAUACCGACCGCAUCUCCUGCUGCUGGCUGAGGACAAGGAGACCUCUCCCGCAGGAGCUCAGAACCAGCACCAGCCUGACCGUUUCUGCUUGAAGGUCACAGCGAGAUUAAAGGAAUGUGCCAUCUCCAGCAAAUAUGUAUAAUGGCUUGUGCGUGCAAUUCCUCUGCAAACGUGCCCACUGCAAUGCACUCUUCUCCGCAGAAAGAAGAUGAAAGAUGUUGUAUGUGACAGUCAUAAUCGCACUGCUUAAUGCAACACUAAAGAACACUUCUAUGUUAUUUCAUCGCAGUGAAGCCCACGCAGACAAAAGCAGCCAUAUCAGUAGCCCCCAGUCCUGGGUUUCACAGCUCCAUGCAGAGCUUUGUGCAGCCUCAGCCUCUCAGGAAGCACACUGCCAUCCAUCAGCCUGACACCAACCUUUAACGCUCCAUAGCUUUGCUCUUACUGCUUCAAGCUCAGACUCCACUGUCACAGCACCUCAGCCACACACCGAGCUCUCGUGCACCACGUCUUUGCCUGGCAGCCCCAAUCCCAUUCCUCUGUAGAUGGGAGGAGCUCACCCAUACCCAGCAUCUCUGUGCAGGGACACAUGGCUGCAGGGAGCUACGACUGCCUGAAAGGAGCACCUGUCUGGAGGAGCAAAGCUUGGUGUUAAGACGCAGGGCGAGGAGCGAAGGGGAAGAGCGCACGCCAAGGUCACAUCUGCAGCAGCAGCGACGGCAGCUGCACAGCAGCGAUAUUAAACCUCCCUCUGGUGUAGGAUACACACACAGACACUUCUUAAGAGCAACAACGAUCCACAUGAAUUGGAGCAGUCCCCAGAGGAGAGCUGCGUGGCUGGCGUGGCAGGGGGUGACUGAAGGGCACACAGUGAGGGUGGGAGCAGCGUGCCCGGCUGUAGAUGAGAGAUUCUCAGCUUUAUCACCCCCAAGUUUGGCAGUGAUUUGCAACUGGGGAGACGCUCAGCUCACCGCUUGCAAGGAAGCAGUGUGACCUGUGCCAAGAAGCAACGAGCAUCAGAAGGUGGAUAUUUCAAGUGAGCGGAACGAAGAUUAUCUACUUUUGUUGCUGCUUUUAAAGCAUAGUAGGAGGCAUCAGCUCUCCCACCUCUCUACUGGUACUCACUGUACCUCCUGGCUUCUCUGUCCAAAGCUGCUGGGGGCAAUGGCACCUUCCAGCAACUCCCUGCGAGCUGGAAACCUCCAGAGAAGCGGAGCAGAGCUGGAACACAAGGAGAUAACGGAGCUCGAGCCCAUUCAAAGCUGCCCGGGUGUCUGUGAGGGUGUAAUGCUCAGCACCAUCUAGUGGUCGUCACCUGCGGCUAUUCGCUCACACAACGCCACAAACGGGGCCUGUUUGAUUUACAGCACUUUUCUUCCCCAUAGCCAAUCUGUCAAGAGACGUGCAGCCCGCUCUGGCGUUUCGCAGGGCUCUGUAAGGACUGCUCAAGUUCUAAUCUCAUUGCUUGGGCUGACUUUCCUCCUCGCGAGGAGGAGAUGUUUUUCCUAAGGGAGAAUAUCCGUAAAAUAGGGGCAGUCUUUUAAGAUAUCAGCAGAGCUAUUUGAGAUACGCGGCUGAACGACAUCCAGUAUUGGUGCCAUUUAUCACAGCGGAGCCAGAGGGGGAGAAAGAGAAUGUAAUGCUGUAAAACAUAUGGAAAACAUUAUCCAAAUAGCACAAAUACGACAUAAAGCCACACACGCAAACAGGGCUUGGAUUUGGGCUCCCCAUAGCCCCUGCUAGACAAGUAAGGAUAAUGAGUUUUUAUUCACAAUGCAUUUAAAGGAGGCCCCACUCUCAUCUUCUCAGCCUGCCAUCAGCACUGCCUCUCUGCUUUUAUUUACAGCUGAACCUCCUGGGUGGAAUCGGAGAACAGAGGAAAAGGGGAGAGCAAGCGACAGAUGCCCACUGCUGCAAAGUACCGUUCAGCAUCUCCCAAAGGGUGAUCCAUCAGAAGGGACGUGCUGCUAAUCAGCAUGAAACCGACACACGUCACAUCCCCACAGAGCACAACACAGUGCAGAACAGCUCCGCAGAGAAAUGCUUUCUGGGGAGGGGACCUGGACACGCAGCUCUUCCCUUAGGCCUAUAGGUCCACCUCAGCCUUUCUCUCAUACUUACCCCAUUGGUGCUGAGAUCCAUAAAUGUUUUCUCUUUUGCUCCCUAAUCGCCACACAAACGUCCCAUUUUUAAGUGAAAAAAGAUAGAAGCAAUCUUUUAUAUCCUCUAUAGCUGAAGCUGGAGUGCUCCUUUACCAGGAAAUGGUUUCUUGUUAUCAGAAGAUGACAUCAUUAUUUUACAGUAAAAGCCUCAGCCCUA
Molecule: long non-coding RNA, 6546 nt
Organism: Gallus gallus (chicken)
Lineage: Eukaryota; Metazoa; Chordata; Aves; Galliformes; Phasianidae
Exons: 2
Source: RefSeq, a predicted model, not a curated record